RNAcentral lists this unclassified non-coding RNA (712 nucleotides) under Homo sapiens (human). RNAcentral describes it as "ribophorin II (ENSG00000291973.1)". Lineage: Eukaryota; Metazoa; Chordata; Mammalia; Primates; Hominidae. The record is from RNAcentral.
GGACUCCGGCGGGACCUGCUCGGAGGAAUGGCGCCGCCGGGUUCAAGCACUGUCUUCCUGUUGGCCCUGACAAUCAUAGCCAGCACCUGGGCUCUGACGCCCACUCACUACCUCACCAAGCAUGACGUGGAGAGACUAAAAGCCUCGCUGGAUCGCCCUUUCACAAAUUUGGAAUCUGCCUUCUACUCCAUCGUGGGACUCAGCAGCCUUGGUGCUCAGGUGCCAGAUGCAAAGAAAGCAUGUACCUACAUCAGAUCUAACCUUGAUCCCAGCAAUGUGGAUUCCCUCUUCUACGCUGCCCAGGCCAGCCAGGCCCUCUCAGGAUGUGAGAACAGUCCAGGCUCUGCAGACAGCAUCCCACCUGUCCCAGCAGGCUGACCUGAGGAGCAUCGUGGAGGAGAUUGAGGACCUUGUUGCUCGCCUGGAUGAACUCGGGGGCGUGUAUCUCCAGUUUGAAGAAGGACUGGAAACAACAGCGUUAUUUGUGGCUGCCACCUACAAGCUCAUGGAUCAUGUGGGGACUGAGCCAUCCAUUAAGGAGGAUCAGGUCAUCCAGCUGAUGAACGCGAUCUUCAGCAAGAAGAACUUUGAGUCCCUCUCCGAAGCCUUCAGCGUGGCCUCUGCAGCUGCUGUGCUCUCGCAUAAUCGCUACCACGUGCCAGUUGUGGUUGUGCCUGAGGGCUCUGCUUCCGACACUCAUGAACAGGCUAUC